AGUGAACGCUGGCGGCAGGCCUAAUACAUGCAAGUCGAACGGCAGCACAGUGGAGCUUGCUCCAUGGGUGGCGAGUGGCGGACGGGUGAGGAAUACAUGGGAAUCUGCCCAGUCGUGGGGGAUAACGUAUGGAAACGUACGCUAAUACCGCAUGCGCCCUUCGGGGGAAAGUCGGGGACCGCAAGGCCUGACGCGAUUGGAUGAGCCCAUGUUCGAUUAGCUAGUUGGCGGGGUAACGGCCCACCAAGGCGACGACCGAUAGCUGGUCUGAGAGGAUGAUCAGCCACACUGGAACUGAGACACGGUCCAGACUCCUACGGGAGGCAGCAGUAGGGAAUAUUGGACAAUGGGGGAAACCCUGAUCCAGCAAUGCCGCGUGAAUGAUGAAGGCCUUCGGGUCGUAAAGUUCUUUUAGUCAGGGAAGAAGGGAACUUGACUGUACCUGCAGAAAAGACACCGGCUAACUCCGUGCCAGCAGCCGCGGUAAUGUACAGUG
RNAcentral lists this ribosomal RNA (496 nucleotides) under uncultured bacterium. Its description in RNAcentral is "bacterial SSU rRNA". It matches the Rfam family "Bacterial small subunit ribosomal RNA", at positions 29 to 530 of the family's 1533-position model. The record is from RNAcentral.